GCUGGAUAAAAAACUGUGUCUGUAUCAGUUUGUGAUAAUCUUCAACACAUAUGACAAAAAUAAGAUUUUUAAGUUUUUUUUGCUUCCUUACACGAGCGAUAUGAAGCAAAAUGCCGCCAAAAUUAGCAACACCAAUUUUUGCGUGACGUCCUUGUUGACAAAAACGUCGAAAGUUUGAAAGUCUUUGUAAAAAAGUGGAUAAAAUUCACAAAGGCAAACGAGCGAAUUUGGACAGACAGGCAGAAGAAACAAAGUUAUACGUAGAGAACAUAAAACGUCUGUUCAACUUUCGAAAAGUUGGUCGAUCAAGGCUCAGGAGAAGAAAUAAUUUUCUCUCAGAAAGAGAUGCUGGAUAACGCAAAUAAUCUCGUAACAAAACGUGAAGAGUAUUUCAAAGUAUCUAUUAAAAAUUGUGUAAAUAUAUAUGCUCAC
This is a non-coding RNA of Paramuricea clavata, 432 nucleotides long. NCBI's taxonomy places the organism in Eukaryota, Metazoa, Cnidaria, Anthozoa, Malacalcyonacea, Plexauridae. The record is from the annotation of a GenBank genome assembly.